This 47-nucleotide ribosomal RNA is filed under the name Aspergillus aculeatus. Its description in RNAcentral is "partial 28S ribosomal RNA". The record is from RNAcentral. Lineage: Eukaryota; Fungi; Ascomycota; Eurotiomycetes; Eurotiales; Aspergillaceae.
UUCAGGAAGGGAACCCGCUGAACUUAAGCUAUCAAUAAGCGGAGGAA